GAUGAACGCUAGCUACAGGCCUAACACAUGCAAGUCGAGGGACCGGCGCACGGGUGAGUAAUACGUAUCUAACCUCCCCCUUACUCGGUGACAGCUUUUCGAAAGAAAGAUUAAUACCUGAUCUAAAGGACGGGUAUGCGUUUCAUUAGGUUGUUGGUGAGGUAACGGCUUACCAAGCAUUCUAUGGAUAGGGUUUCUGAGUGGAAGCUCCCCGACGUUGGAACUGCGACACGGUCCACACUCCUACGGGAGGCAGCAGUGAGGGAUAUUAGUGAAUGGGCGCUAGCCUGACCCAGCCAAGUAGCGUGAAGAAUGAAGGCUUAUGAGUGGUAACCUUCUGUUAUAUAAGAAUAGGUAUUAGAUGAAUAAGGAUCGGCUAACUCCGUGCCAGCAGCCGCGGUAAUUC
RNAcentral lists this ribosomal RNA (406 nucleotides) under uncultured bacterium. RNAcentral describes it as "partial 16S ribosomal RNA". It matches the Rfam family "Bacterial small subunit ribosomal RNA", at positions 28 to 526 of the family's 1533-position model. The record is from RNAcentral.